Pelobates cultripes (western spadefoot toad) is the source of this 200-nucleotide non-coding RNA. The record is from the annotation of a GenBank genome assembly. Lineage: Eukaryota; Metazoa; Chordata; Amphibia; Anura; Pelobatidae.
CACUAACCAUUCACCUUGCUUUCUUGAGCUUCUGGCAAAGAUAUCUCUAAUGACACAGAGAUGGGUAUUUUUUAUAUACACCCCAACAUGCUUAUUAACCCUUAAUAGAGUGCCCAAGAGUAGUGGGAGUUUGAGCGCAGGACUUAUUUUUUUUAAUAUCUUUUCCAGAAGGUCAAGAAAGCAAGGUGAAUGGUUAGUGU